GGGGAUAUAGCUCAGUUGGUAGAGUACUUGCCUCACAUGCACAAGACCCUGGGUUCAAUCCCCAAUACCA
RNAcentral lists this transfer RNA (70 nucleotides) under Ictidomys tridecemlineatus (thirteen-lined ground squirrel). RNAcentral's name for it is "Spermophilus tridecemlineatus (thirteen-lined ground squirrel) tRNA". It matches the Rfam family "tRNA". From Rfam's summary of the family: Transfer RNA (tRNA) molecules are approximately 80 nucleotides in length. Their secondary structure includes four short double-helical elements and three loops (D, anti-codon, and T loops). Lineage: Eukaryota; Metazoa; Chordata; Mammalia; Rodentia; Sciuridae. The record is from Rfam by way of RNAcentral.